UACGGAGGGCGCAAGCGUUGUUCGGAAUCACUGGGCGUAAAGCGCGUGUAGGCGACCGGGCAAGUCGGGUGUGAAAUCCCGAGGCUCAACCUCGGAACUGCACUCGAAACUGCUCGGCUCGAGUCCCGGAGAGGGUGGCGGAAUUCCCGGUGUAGGGGUGAAAUCCGUAGAUAUCGGGAGGAACACCAGUGGCGAAGGCGGCCACCUGGACGGUGACUGACGCUGAGACGCGAAAGCGUGGGGAGCAAACAGG
RNAcentral lists this ribosomal RNA (253 nucleotides) under uncultured bacterium. RNAcentral describes it as "partial 16S ribosomal RNA". It matches the Rfam family "Bacterial small subunit ribosomal RNA", at positions 524 to 776 of the family's 1533-position model. The record is from RNAcentral.